This 466-nucleotide long non-coding RNA is filed under the name Rattus norvegicus (Norway rat). Its description in RNAcentral is "long non-coding RNA NONRATT030021". Lineage: Eukaryota; Metazoa; Chordata; Mammalia; Rodentia; Muridae. The record is from RNAcentral.
AGGAGACUUCUGCCCCUUAAGUGACAUUUUCCUGGUGGAGGUAAUCUGAGAACUGAUAAGGGGAAAAAUGCUAAAGGCUGUAAUCUCAAGAUUAGGACCAAAUAGAUGCUCAGAGAUGUUUGGCUUGUGAAAUGCUCUUAAUACAUAAGGAAAGCAUUUUGGGAUAAACCUUUGUGAAAGAUGCUAUGUCAAGUUUUAACUCUUCUCAAAGACCUUUUCUUUAGCACUUUGAUGUUUCUUAAGGUAAAACGUAGGCAGGAGGAAUUGAUGUUCUUAAGGGGACAGAAGGUGGGUUUUUCUCUGGGCUUUUGUUUUUUUUCCCCUCCUCUGGGCCAUUGCCCUCUGAUGGAAUUAAUUAGUAUUUCUUUGGCUGUUUGAUUUUUUUAUAUUGUAUUUUUAAAAUUUGUUGUAUGGUGCCCUGUGAGCAUCAAGUACCACCAGAUAAAUAAAACUUAUUAUAUCUAAA